Molecule: long non-coding RNA, 3587 nt
Organism: Meriones unguiculatus (Mongolian gerbil)
Lineage: Eukaryota; Metazoa; Chordata; Mammalia; Rodentia; Muridae
Exons: 2
Source: RefSeq, a predicted model, not a curated record
CUGUAAUUCAUAUAAAAACUCUUGUUAAAAAGUUGAGGAAAAAAGUAGAAUUCUGGCCCAGACCUGCCUGCCACUGGGCCAAGAGAAAGACACCCAAGCGCCUGCCUCAGGCUCCAGUAUGAUGAAUGAAUAUGUGAUGGAGAGAUGGGAAAGACAGAGUGCACGGUAGAGAAAUGGGAGAGACGUAGAAGCCGAGAGAUGUGGGCUGCCAUCCUGAGUGCUGCAGCUGGCACGGGGCAGGGCAGCUUUUCUGCUAUCACACGCUCUUCCAGGCCAGCUCUCCUGUGAAGCCCAGGUGAGGGGUGGAGCCGGUUCUUCACAGCUUUCAGACUCCAGCAUGGUCCCAUAUUGCAGCCCAGACACCUGCCGGCUACUCCCAUGAGGCUGCUCCUCACUACCCUUGACUCUCCAGGUCUGCCUCUCUUCGUUGUGCACGCAUCUUUCUGCUUCUCUUUUUCUUCCACCUCUCCACCACUUACUUGCUCUUCUUAGUUGCAUGUGGGGCUUCUGGGGUCCUGGAGUCUUCUCAGGAGUGCUAUACUACUCCCUUGUGGCCCUAGGGUCUCAGAUGUGGUCUGCCCACCUCCGCCUGCGUGGCACCAGGCAUGUAGGACUCGUGAGAACCUGAAACAUUAUCCUAUGUAUGCACUCCCACCCCCAACCAAGGCCUCUGAUUUCAGAAUUGCUUCUAAGGCAGCUUCACACCCUUGCACUUUGGACCUGUAGCUAGAGAGAAAAUAACUAGCCACAGUAUUUUGAUUGCCUACCUUCCAUUGUACCAGAUAGUGAAUUGUCUCAUAGAUGCCAAAAGGUGUCCUGCAUUUAAUCAUAAACCUUUACAAAUACUUACUUAUUUUAUGUGUGUGCAUUUGUGUGUGCCUGAGUGCACGCACAUGUAAAAUAGGUGUGUGCAAGUAACUGGAGUUACAGAUAGUUGUGAGCUACCAUGCAGCUGCUGAGAAUAGAACCUGCCUCCUCUGCAAGAACAGGAAGUGCUCAUCACCACUGAGACAUUUCUCCAGCUCCACAAGUCUUUUAAUUUUUUUUUUUGUCAGUGUAUAAGGCAUGUGCAGGAGCACUGAGAUCUAUCCCUAACUGUCCUUUAUCUCUUCUGAAAGGAAGAGCUCCCACCUCCCUGCUGACCUUUGACCUCCUCUACUCUGAAAAGGGACUUCUGGACCCCAGGCCUUAUCUUUACCUUGUACCCGUCUUACAGCUGUAUGCUGCCUCCUAAUAGUACGGCUGGUGGUGUUUACAGACCACAUUUUAUUUUGAGACAGUAUCUUGCUUGGUUGCCUAGAUUGACCUUGAAUUUACUGUGUAGCCCAAGCUGACCUCUUCCUUGCAAAACACCUGUAUCAGCGUUCUCGAAGUAGAAUUACAGUCACACCCAUCAAACCCAGAAAGAUAGUUUUUAACACGUUGAUUUAUGCACGUAUGCUUUCUGUCUCUAUCUUCCUCCUUCCCUCUCUUCCUCCCUUCCUCCCUCCCUUCUUCCCCUCUCUCCCAUUCCUCUAGGAAGGGAUCAGAUGAAGCCAUCAUCACUGAUCCUAGUUUCUUUUAAUACACUAGAUUCAACCCUUGUCAGGUUUGAGGCUGGUGCUUACUCCAAGACCACUCACGUGUGUAAUUGAAGUUGGUUCAGCACGACAAUAAAGAAGAUUCUUCUCAGGACAAGACCGCAGCAACUUUCAUACAUGGGCGUUCCGAGUUGCAGGAAUUUUCCACAGUAGGGCAGGCCAUUUCAUCCGGAGCUCUGUUUCCAAAUGUGUUUGCCCUGAGCCUGCUCUGGUUUCCCUCUCACUCGCGUCUCUCAGUGGUGUCUGCUCGCAGUUGCCACAAGAGGGUGCCAAAUACACGCAGAGAAGCAGAGAGGCGUGUCUGCUCCUAGACACCUAGCCCUUCCCAUUGGUCAGCUGGCUGACUCUAAAGAGUGCUUUAGUUAGAGUGAUUCAGUAGUCAAGAUUCAAAGUCAUCAAGCUCUUAAUUGCAAUUUUAGGGAUUGGUUUGGUUUGGUUUUCCUGCACCUAGCCUUUCCCAGUCCACAGAGCAGAAGGCAUGCUAUGGAUUCUGGCCCUACUUCUAGCUUUCUUGCCUGCUGGCAGACAAACAUCCUCCAGCUUGGAAGCGAGAAUAAAGUCAAUCACCAAGACAAGGGGAUCCACUGCUAAAAUCACUUGUGAUACUCACACAGCGGACAAGUACAUACACUGGUACCGAUUCCAAAAAGGGAGCGCCCCACAACAUCUUCUCUACUAUAGCCUCAGCACUUCCGCAACUGUGGUGGAUGCCAGGUUCGAUUCAAAGAAAUACCAUGUUUAUGAAGGCACAGACAACAGUUACACAUUUGUGCUUCUGAAUUUGGAAGAAUCCGAUUCUGCGCUAUAUUACUGUGCCACCUGGACAGACACAGUGAUUCAGCCCUGCUCUCACCUGUACAGAAAGUAUUAGAUCACAGCUGUUCCUAGUGUGCAAGACAGACAAGAUCCCACCUCAUUUCUUACCUCUGACCUUCUCUGCCCCAAAAGGAAAUUCUGGACCCCCAUGCCUUAUCUUUACCGUGUACCCAGCCCAUUUCCCUCUUUCCAGCUGUACCUGGCCUGUAACAGUAUCUCUGGACAUUUUUACAGACCAAACUACUAUGUCUAAGCCUUGACCAAGGACCCUAACUGAAAAAAUAAUACUUUCAGCUCUCUUUGGGCCUGCUAGAGGCACAUCCAGCUGGCAGUCAAGGAUGGCUUUGAAUUGAUAUUUGUCACAAGAUACUUACCUCAGAGAGCAUUUUGGGAAAACCAGUCAAGUUGAUCCAUGCAUGUGAUCAUGACACAGAGAAAAUGGCAUGGCUAAUAAUUUUUCAUUACUUAGAUUAUGAGAAAUGGCCGAAUAAAAUCUUUGGUCUUCCUGAAGACUUCAUGCACACUUACUUAUUGUCCUUUGAAUGAACUGAUUUUUCAGUCACCAUCACACUCACAAUAUUGUUGUUGAAAUGAUAAUAAGGAAACAUACAUGUAAAUAUGCCAACUAUUAUGUCUACUUAAAGAACAUAAAUUCAACACACUGAAUUUCAAAGAUAUAACUAGACUCCUUUAGGGACUCAGCAGUGAAGGUUUCCAAACUACAGAACAGACCGGAGCUCCGCUGGCAUUUGCAUAGCAGCUGGAGCCUAACAGGAAGCAGCAUGGUUCCCGGAGAAGAUUGUCAACAUCUGGCUAGUGUUGCUGUGUGGGCUGAAAUGGGGGUGGGGGGUGGAAGCUUGGUUACUGUGCACCAUAGGUCGACUAGCCCUUUUGUGGAUCUCCUUGCUGUUAUUAUCUUUAGGAACUGUUGGCAAGCUGGCUUAUUUCUUCUGGCUACAGUUUCUCUCCUCUGCUCCUGGAGAAGCUAACUGCUUGGGUUGGGUUUGGAGACACUGGGGACUUUCAACAGAAUACUACGUUACAGUUUAGCCUGUUGGUCCCUUGGAACCAGAACUCGAUCUCUACCAAUGGCCUUCUGUGGAUGCUUUUUGAUGCACAAACUGAAAUUCAGCCCAAAGAUAGAAUUGCUUUGCUUUAACUAACUAAAUAAAAGUCUCCUUUCAAAGCCAA